RNAcentral lists this ribosomal RNA (2907 nucleotides) under Escherichia coli DEC3E. RNAcentral describes it as "bacterial LSU rRNA". It matches the Rfam family "Bacterial large subunit ribosomal RNA". Lineage: Bacteria; Pseudomonadati; Pseudomonadota; Gammaproteobacteria; Enterobacterales; Enterobacteriaceae. The record is from RNAcentral.
UUAAGCGACUAAGCGUACACGGUGGAUGCCCUGGCAGUCAGAGGCGAUGAAGGACGUGCUAAUCUGCGAUAAGCGUCGGUAAGGUGAUAUGAACCGUUAUAACCGGCGAUUUCCGAAUGGGGAAACCCAGUGUGAUUCGUCACACUAUCAUUAACUGAAUCCAUAGGUUAAUGAGGCGAACCGGGGGAACUGAAACAUCUAAGUACCCCGAGGAAAAGAAAUCAACCGAGAUUCCCCCAGUAGCGGCGAGCGAACGGGGAGGAGCCCAGAGCCUGAAUCAGUGUGUGUGUUAGUGGAAGCGUCUGGAAAGGCGCGCGAUACAGGGUGACAGCCCCGUACACAAAAAUGCACAUACUGUGAGCUCGAUGAGUAGGGCGGGACACGUGGUAUCCUGUCUGAAUAUGGGGGGACCAUCCUCCAAGGCUAAAUACUCCUGACUGACCGAUAGUGAACCAGUACCGUGAGGGAAAGGCGAAAAGAACCCCGGCGAGGGGAGUGAAAAAGAACCUGAAACCGUGUACGUACAAGCAGUGGGAGCACAGAGCAAUCUGUGUGACUGCGUACCUUUUGUAUAAUGGGUCAGCGACUUAUAUUCUGUAGCAAGGUUAACCGAAUAGGGGAGCCGAAGGGAAACCGAGUCUUAACCGGGCGUUAAGUUGCAGGGUAUAGACCCGAAACCCGGUGAUCUAGCCAUGGGCAGGUUGAAGGUUGGGUAACACUAACUGGAGGACCGAACCGACUAAUGUUGAAAAAUUAGCGGAUGACUUGUGGCUGGGGGUGAAAGGCCAAUCAAACCGGGAGAUAGCUGGUUCUCCCCGAAAGCUAUUUAGGUAGCGCCUCGUGAAUUCAUCUCCGGGGGUAGAGCACUGUUUCGGCAAGGGGGUCAUCCCGACUUACCAACCCGAUGCAAACUGCGAAUACCGGAGAAUGUUAUCACGGGAGACACACGGACGGGUGCUAACGUCCGUCGUGAAGAGGGAAACAACCCUAGACCGCCUAGCUAAGGUCCCAAAGUCAUGGUUAAGUGGGAAACGAUGUCGGGAAGGCCCAGACAGCCAGGAUGUUGGCUUAGAAGCAGCCAUCAUUUAAAGAAAGCGUAAUAGCUCACUGGUCGAGUCGGCCUGCGCGGAAGAUGUAACGGGGCUAAACCAUGCACCGAAGCUGCGGCAGCGACACUGUGUGUUGUUGGGUAGGGGAGCGUUCUGUAAGCCUGUGAAGGUGUGCUGUGAGGCAUGCUGGAGGUAUCAGAAGUGCGAAUGCUGACAUAAGUAACGAUAAAGCGGGUGAAAAGCCCGCUCGCCGGAAGACCAAGGGUUCCUGUCCAACGUUAAUCGGGGCAGGGUGAGUCGACCCCUAAGGCGAGGCCGAAAGGCGUAGUCGAUGGGAAACAGGUUAAUAUUCCUGUACUUGGUGUUACUGCGAAGGGGGGACGGAGAAGGCUAUGUUGGCCGGGCGACGGUUGUCCCGGUUUAAGCGUGUAGGCUGGUUUUCCAGGCAAAUCCGGAAAAUCAAGGCUGAGGCGUGAUGACGAGGCACUACGGUGCUGAAGCAACAAAUGCCCUGCUUCCAGGAAAAGCCUCUAAGCAUCAGGUAACAUCAAAUCGUACCCCAAACCGACACAGGUGGUCAGGUAGAGAAUACCAAGGCGCUUGAGAGAACUCGGGUGAAGGAACUAGGCAAAAUGGUGCCGUAACUUCGGGAGAAGGCACGCUGAUAUGUAGGUGAAGUCCCUCGCGGAUGGAGCUGAAAUCAGUCGAAGAUACCAGCUGGCUGCAACUGUUUAUUAAAAACACAGCACUGUGCAAACACGAAAGUGGACGUAUACGGUGUGACGCCUGCCCGGUGCCGGAAGGUUAAUUGAUGGGGUCAGCGCAAGCGAAGCUCUUGAUCGAAGCCCCGGUAAACGGCGGCCGUAACUAUAACGGUCCUAAGGUAGCGAAAUUCCUUGUCGGGUAAGUUCCGACCUGCACGAAUGGCGUAAUGAUGGCCAGGCUGUCUCCACCCGAGACUCAGUGAAAUUGAACUCGCUGUGAAGAUGCAGUGUACCCGCGGCAAGACGGAAAGACCCCGUGAACCUUUACUAUAGCUUGACACUGAACAUUGAGCCUUGAUGUGUAGGAUAGGUGGGAGGCUUUGAAGUGUGGACGCCAGUCUGCAUGGAGCCGACCUUGAAAUACCACCCUUUAAUGUUUGAUGUUCUAACGUGGACCCGUGAUCCGGGUUGCGGACAGUGUCUGGUGGGUAGUUUGACUGGGGCGGUCUCCUCCUAAAGAGUAACGGAGGAGCACGAAGGUUGGCUAAUCCUGGUCGGACAUCAGGAGGUUAGUGCAAUGGCAUAAGCCAGCUUGACUGCGAGCGUGACGGCGCGAGCAGGUGCGAAAGCAGGUCAUAGUGAUCCGGUGGUUCUGAAUGGAAGGGCCAUCGCUCAACGGAUAAAAGGUACUCCGGGGAUAACAGGCUGAUACCGCCCAAGAGUUCAUAUCGACGGCGGUGUUUGGCACCUCGAUGUCGGCUCAUCACAUCCUGGGGCUGAAGUAGGUCCCAAGGGUAUGGCUGUUCGCCAUUUAAAGUGGUACGCGAGCUGGGUUUAGAACGUCGUGAGACAGUUCGGUCCCUAUCUGCCGUGGGCGCUGGAGAACUGAGGGGGGCUGCUCCUAGUACGAGAGGACCGGAGUGGACGCAUCACUGGUGUUCGGGUUGUCAUGCCAAUGGCACUGCCCGGUAGCUAAAUGCGGAAGAGAUAAGUGCUGAAAGCAUCUAAGCACGAAACUUGCCCCGAGAUGAGUUCUCCCUGACCCUUUAAGGGUCCUGAAGGAACGUUGAAGACGACGACGUUGAUAGGCCGGGUGUGUAAGCGCAGCGAUGCGUUGAGCUAACCGGUACUAAUGAACCGUGAGGCUUAACCUU